AAUGAACGCUGGCGGCAGGCCUAACACAUGCAAGUCGAGCGGACGAAGGGUGCUUGCGCCUGGAUUCAGCGUCGGACGGGUGAGUAAUACCUAGGAAUCACCCUGGUAGUGGGGGAUAACGUCCUGAAACGGGCGCUACUACUGCCUACGACCUGAGGGAGAAAGUGGGGGAUCUUCGGAACUCACGCUCUGAGAGGAACCUAGGUCGGUCUAGCUAGUUGGUGGGGUUAAGGCCUACCAAGGCGACGAUCCGUAACUAGUCUGAGUGGGUGAUCAGUCACAUGGGAGGUGAGACACGGUCCAUACUCCUACGGGAGGCAGCAGUGGGGUAUAGGGGACAAUGGGGGAAAGUCUGAUCCAGCGAUGCCGCGCGUGAGAAGAAGGUCUUCGGAUUGUGAUGCCCGUUAAGUGAUUGUGAAGGGCAGUAGGUUAAGACGUUGCUGUUUUGACGUUACUAACAGAAGAAGCACCGGCUAACUUCGUG
This 484-nucleotide ribosomal RNA is filed under the name uncultured bacterium. RNAcentral describes it as "partial 16S ribosomal RNA". It matches the Rfam family "Bacterial small subunit ribosomal RNA", at positions 29 to 507 of the family's 1533-position model. The record is from RNAcentral.